RNAcentral lists this long non-coding RNA (1604 nucleotides) under Equus asinus (donkey). Its description in RNAcentral is "lncRNA (ENSEASG00005037214.1)". The record is from RNAcentral. Lineage: Eukaryota; Metazoa; Chordata; Mammalia; Perissodactyla; Equidae.
GUGAAAAGUCCUUUAUUCAGUUCCUUUUAAAUUACCCUGUUUGAUUAUUCUAUUUCUUGCUGUGAUCUUGACUAUGAUGAUAGAGCUAGAAUUGCUUAGACUAAUUGUAGUUUUUCAUCUGUAAAGUGAGAUAUUUGGGUUAGCAUCUGUAAAAUAUAGAAACUCAAGUUUGGAAAGGACCCUAAAAGCUUAGGCUUUCGAAUCAGAUGGAUCACAGAACAAGUGUUGGCUAGUAAGUCUGCCAUUUACUAGCUGUGUGGUCUGAGACAAGUUAUUUAAGCACUCUGAAUUUAACUUUCCUCAUUGGUGAAAUAUAGUUGAAAACCAUAUCUGUUUACAGAAUUGUAGUAAAAUGAUUAGCAUAGUGCCUAGUGACCACUCAAAAAAAGUCAGCCACUAAAAUAGAUGCUCUCUUUCUGGAUUAAGAGAUUGGUUCGCUGGAUUAAUGUAUGCUCUCCAUUUUCCCAUAAAACAUGCUGAUUGAUACCACAGCGUCCUGAAUAAUUACUACUAAUAUACCUCACUCAUUUGCUUGUACACUUUGGGUCUUAAAAGUUCAAUUACAUGUUUUGAAGGGUUGCUUGUAUUUAUUCCCAAAUUAGUUUUUGCUCAUUGCAUUUAUAAUUAUUUAAUUUAAUUAACUAUUAUGUAAACUGGUGUAUUAGUUUCCUAUUGCUACUUUAACAAAUAACCACAAACCAGUGGCGUAAAACAAUACAGAUUUAUUAUUUUACUGAAUGUCAGUCUGAAAUGAGUUUCACUGGACUAAAAUCAAGGUACCAGCAGGGCUGCAUUCCUUCCCAAGGCUCUAAGGGAGACUCUGUUUCCUUGCCUUUUCCAGUUUCUAGAGGCCACCUGCGUUCCUUGACUUAUGGCUGACUGCUUUCUCCAUCUUCAGAGCUACUAGCACAGUAUUUUCAAAUUACUCUCUGGUUCUCCACCUCUUUCUUUCACAAGGACCCUUGUGAUUGGACCCACCAGAAAAUCCAGCAUAAUCCUCCCCAUCUCAAGAUCCUUAAUUUAAUCAUAUCUGCAAAGUCCCCUUUGCCAUGUAGAAUAACAUAUUCAUACAUUCUGUGGAUUAGAGCAUGGACAUUUUGGGGGGCCGUCAUUCUGCCUACCUACAACUGUUGGCGUUUGAGAAAAGAGAGAGAGAGGAUGUUUUUUAUGAAACCUACUUUCUUGCUUUGGAAAGACUCAUUAAGUUAAAUUGAAAAAAAAAUGCCUUUAUAUUAGAUGUGGGCUAAAUAACUAUAAAAGUUUUGGAAAAUUGUGAAGUUCAGGAAGAAUUCUUCACUCAGAUUGCUUCAGAAGUGUCUCUAUGUUCUUGCUCCAUUUAGGGAAACAUACUGGAAAUCAGAAAAUGCAUUAUGGCUUUGAUUUAUGGGAGAAAUAUAGAGCAAAAAUCUAGUCAAUGAACUCAUUCACAAAGAAAAGUCCUUGGCUCUACACCAGGAGACUGGAAAAGAUACAACAAAUUUACAACUACCUUUGGAACAAUUAAUCCUGAGAGAGAACUGGAAACUGGAUAAAAAGAACCUCCACAACAAGCAACGGUGCUGACUGGGGUGGAAGAGGCAGAAAUAUCUUUCUGGAGAGGAAAU